CAACAUUAAUUUCAGAGAAAUAAUUAAAAUAGGAAAAUAUUGAUAAAAUUAAUAAAAUCAGAAAUGGAGACUUUUAAGAUCCAAUUUUCACGGGGACGAGCUCUAAUCAGAGAGCGAUAGAGCAGUUUCACAAGCUAAAUAAGCUCGAAACGAGACGAACAAAUGAUUCCCAUGAGCCAAUCGAGCCCUUACUCUCCUAAGAUCUUGAAGCAUCCCAGAUCUCUUUCCAAUCGAUUUCUCAUCUUCGAUAUGUCAUCAUGAUAGUCGUGUUCUCGCCGACGUGUUUGCUUAGUCGUGUUCUCGCCGCCGUGUUUGCUUAGUCGUAUUCUCGUCGCCGAUCUGUCCUCACCUUGCUGAUUUCGUCGCCUGGCCUAUUUUAACUUUUGUGAAUUAGAUGAGAUACGAUGGAGUCUUUCUCAUUCUUGCUAAAAUCAAAGACUUCCAGUUUGGCUUGCUAAGAUUUUAAGGUGCUUAUAGUGUGAAGCAAGAAGUAGCAGACAAGGGGGCAUAAGAAUGCUAGGUUCUAGUAACAAUUUGAACAGGGGUACCACAUGAUUGUCAUCUGAUACCCCGAAUUUUUCUCAAGUCUUGACUUUGGAACCGAUUAGAUAGGCAAUCAAAUCUAUACUUGUUCAAGAGAGCUUAGAAUGGUUCUUGGUGUCCCUUGUAGGGCUUUGUUAGAAGGUAAUUCUUUUGGAUGUCCCAUCCUAGACCUUCUCCAGCGGUACCAACUGAGGAGCUGAAACACUUUAAAGAGAGUGUGCUAGAUAUUUUUCGUUUGUGAUUAUGCCUUUCGAAGAGGCUGGAUAUGUAUUUUAUUGCUUUCUUUCUUACUUGGAUUAAACAAGUAAGAGAGUGUGCUCAUUUUUGUUGCAAAAAAAUUAUUUAGGAAGGAUCUUUUAAAUU
This is a long non-coding RNA of Camelina sativa (false flax), 906 nucleotides long. RefSeq lists it as uncharacterized. The record is from RefSeq and is a predicted model, not a curated record. Lineage: Eukaryota; Viridiplantae; Streptophyta; Magnoliopsida; Brassicales; Brassicaceae.